This 460-nucleotide ribosomal RNA is filed under the name uncultured bacterium. RNAcentral's name for it is "partial 16S ribosomal RNA". It matches the Rfam family "Bacterial small subunit ribosomal RNA", at positions 338 to 795 of the family's 1533-position model. The record is from RNAcentral.
CCUACGGGAGGCUGCAGUGAGGAAUAUUGGUCAAUGGGCGCGAGCCUGAACCAGCCAAGUAGCGUGAAGGAUGACUGCCCUACGGGUUGUAAACUUCUUUUAUAAAGGAAUAAAGUGAGGCACGUGUGCCUUUUUGUAUGUACUUUAUGAAUAAGGAUCGGCUAACUCCGUGCCAGCAGCCGCGGUAAUACGGAGGAUCCGAGCGUUAUCCGGAUUUAUUGGGUUUAAAGGGAGCGUAGAUGGGUUGUUAAGUCAGUUGUGAAAGUUUGCGGCUCAACCGUAAAAUUGCAAUUGAUACUGGCAGCCUUGAGUACAGUUGAGGGAGGCGGAAUGCGUGGUGUAGCGGUGAAAUGCUGAGAUAUCACGAAGAACACCGAUUGCGAAGGCAGCUUACUAAACAGCCACUGACAUUGAGGCUCGAAAGUGUGGGUAUCAAACAGGAUUAGAUACCCUGGUAGUC